GAAAUGCAUUUAGGUGCAGCGUUGCGUGGUUCUUGUUGGAGGUAGAGCACUGGAUGGUCUAGGGGGCUUAUCGGCUUACCGAAAUCAGCCAAACUCCGAAUGCUGGCAAGUGUAGCGUGGCAGUGAGACGGCGGGGGAUAAGCUUCGUCGUCGAGAGGGAAACAGCCCAGAUCAUCAGCUAAGGCCCCUAAGUGGUGACUCAGUGGGAAAGGAUGUGGAGUUGC
This 224-nucleotide ribosomal RNA is filed under the name Striatella unipunctata. RNAcentral describes it as "partial Bacterial large subunit ribosomal RNA". It matches the Rfam family "Bacterial large subunit ribosomal RNA", at positions 861 to 1084 of the family's 2925-position model. Lineage: Eukaryota; Bacillariophyta; Striatellaphyceae; Striatellales; Striatellaceae. The record is from RNAcentral.